GCUUGUGUAUUUGGUAUAUAAAUCUAACUACGUGUUUGGAAAUCCUGAACUAGUUUUGCUUGAAAAGUCUGUUACAUUUGUGGUGUCGUACUUGAAACGACCACACUUGUUGGGUCGGGCUAUUUACAUUUGGUCCGUCGGUCUGUCUGCCCCUUUAUUUAUGGUUUACCUUCAGGUUUAUUGGAAAUGUUUUAGUUUUACUCCAACCCAUACAGAUCUAUAAUAUAGAAUUAGCGUGGGACGGUACUUCAUAUUUGAGCAAUAAAAAUACCUAGACAUACUUAUAGAGGUGCAGUAUAUUUC
This 303-nucleotide long non-coding RNA is filed under the name Mytilus galloprovincialis (Mediterranean mussel). Lineage: Eukaryota; Metazoa; Mollusca; Bivalvia; Mytilida; Mytilidae. The record is from RNAcentral.